This 855-nucleotide long non-coding RNA is filed under the name Brassica rapa (field mustard). RNAcentral's name for it is "long non-coding RNA (BRAP_LNC007078)". Lineage: Eukaryota; Viridiplantae; Streptophyta; Magnoliopsida; Brassicales; Brassicaceae. The record is from RNAcentral.
AUUCAUUUACAAAUUAGACAUGAUUCACAAAUUAAAAUAUGGUUUACAAAAAAAUAUGUUUACAAAUUUAAACCAGUUCACUAAUCUAUCCCUAAUUAAAAAAAAAGAAACUAAACCUACUGAUUUGCUCUGGCUCAACAAGGCAGAAGGCGUGGGGGUUAGCUCUAAAUGGAGGCGGCUGCUUCUCGAGAAAAGACUUUUGAUUCUUCUCAAGCAAUUUCUUACUGCUUCGAGAAGGGCUAUCACGGCUGAGAAGAGGGAAGAUCAAGUUGAAGAGAUACGUGACGCAACCACUGUCUCACUGCUUCGAGUCACACGACGUUCUCUGCCUCUCAUUCAUAGUAUCCUUUAAAAGUGGCUAUAGUUAAGUUAUUCUUUGCAUAUGUAUAUAUGUUUGCAUUCCAUGAGAAAUAAGAAAUGAAAAGAUUACCUUUGACAGGAAGACAAGUAGUUACAGAAGAAAAACAGAGACGGGGAUACUUUGUACAAGCUGUUCCUUCCAUAAAAAUUGCUCUCAGAAACUGUUCUUCUAUCUAGGAGAGUUAUACACGAGUUUUGCAUUGCACAUCCAGAAACUAAAACGAUUAGAUAGAUCACGAGUCAUGCUAUUCGCAAAUACAUAUUAGACCACAAAAGUGGGUCAGCAAAACAAGUGAUAGUUUGAGUAAAGACAAAUCCUCAAAGCCAUAAAAAGUUACAAUGACAAGAUUUGUGAACAACAGUUGCGUAUAUGUGUUUUCUUAAGCAUUGCGUUUCUUUCAACUAAAUGGUUUCGGGCUGUUGCUAUCAACAUUCUGGCAAGUGGCAAUAAGCUCAAUCAUGCAAGUCAUUGUUCAAGAUAUAAAAUUGCCUAAC